GUAGUUAGCCGUGGCUUCCUCCUUAGGUACCGUCAUUAUCGUCCCUAAAGACAGAGCUUUACAAUCCGAAAACCUUCUUCCCUCACGCGGCGUUGCUGGGUCAGGCUUGCGCCCAUUGCCCAAUAUUCCCCACUGCUGCCUCCCGUAGGAGUCUGGACCGUGUCUCAGUUCCAGUGUGGCCGAUCAGCCUCUCAGCUCGGCUACCCAUCGUCGGCUUGGUGGGCUGUUAUCUCACCAACUACCUAAUGGGACGCGAACCCCUCUAAAAGCGAUAAAUCUUUGACCUCUUCCCGAUGCCGGGUUGUGGUCUUAUGCGGUAUUAGCAGUUGUUUCCACCUGUUAUUCCCCACUCUUAGGCAGGUUGUUCACGCGUUACUCACCCGUGCGCCACUAGAAUUAUCAAUUCCAUCCGAAAACUUCCUUAAUAAUCCCCGUUCGACUUGCAUGUGUUAGGCACGCCGCCAGCGUUCGUCCUAAGCCAGAAUCAAACUCUGA
Molecule: ribosomal RNA, 495 nt
Filed under: uncultured bacterium
Lineage: Bacteria
Description: partial 16S ribosomal RNA
Source: RNAcentral